This 250-nucleotide unclassified non-coding RNA is filed under the name uncultured Pleosporales. RNAcentral describes it as "sequence contains 5.8S rRNA gene, ITS2, 28S rRNA gene". The record is from RNAcentral. Lineage: Eukaryota; Fungi; Ascomycota; Dothideomycetes; Pleosporales.
AACGCACAUUGCGCCCCUUGGUAUUCCAUGGGGCAUGCCUGUUCGAGCGUCAUUUGUACCUUCAAGCUCUGCUUGGUGUUGGGUGUUUGUCUCGCCUCUGCGCGUAGACUCGCCUCAAAACAAUUGGCAGCCGGCGUAUUGAUUUCGGAGCGCAGUACAUCUCGCGCUUUGCACUCAUAACGACGACGUCCAAAAGUACAUUUUUUACACUCUUGACCUCGGAUCAGGUAGGGAUACCCGCUGAACUUAA